This 258-nucleotide ribosomal RNA is filed under the name uncultured bacterium. RNAcentral describes it as "partial 16S ribosomal RNA". It matches the Rfam family "Bacterial small subunit ribosomal RNA", at positions 96 to 354 of the family's 1533-position model. The record is from RNAcentral.
UGGCGGACGGGUGAGUAACGCGUGGGUAACCUGCCUUACACAGGGGGAUAACACCUGGAAACAGGUGCUAAUACCGCAUAAGCGCACAGGGCCGCAUGGCCCGGUGUGAAAAACUCCGGUGGUGUAAGAUGGACCCGCGUCUGAUUAGCUUGUUGGCGGGGUAGGGGCCCACCAAGGCGACGAUCAGUAGCCGGCCUGAGAGGGUGGACGGCCACAUUGGGACUGAGACACGGCCCAGACUCCUACGGGAGGCAGCAG